Molecule: long non-coding RNA, 672 nt
Organism: Lagopus muta (rock ptarmigan)
Lineage: Eukaryota; Metazoa; Chordata; Aves; Galliformes; Phasianidae
Exons: 3
Source: RefSeq, a predicted model, not a curated record
GGAAAGGAUCUUUUCUAGAGAUCCCUCCAUGGUGGAGCUUUUCUCUGCAAUCCUGGAAUCUUCUGAUAUGGCCAGGUCCAUCAUCCAUUGAAGGCUCUGAAUGACUCACAUUGAUUCCCAUGGGCUUGAAUGAGGGAAUCAUCCAAGCCCUCACUGAAGGUACUGAGAGAUGGACUGGUUCCUUGGUGUGUAUAUCUCAACUUCUGCUUAUGGCAGUGGCUUUCAAAUAUUUUCAACUUCUGGACCUCUGGCAUUCAUCUAGUGAAGCUCUUCUUUGAAAUGUGGUACUGAUUACUGGGAAUGGAGCUUCACUUAUAAUUUUGGCAGCACUAGUGAGAGAAGAAGGAUUGUUGCACUUUUCCAACAGAAAUAUUUGUACUAUGUUAUAUGAUGUCCCCUUCCCUUCAAUCCCACCUGCAUGGUAUCAUAUGCAGUUUGUAAAUCACUACUAUUUUCAAAGACUUUUCUGCAGAAUUGAUUAUUCUCUGUCUUGAAUUUUUGCAUGUGGCUAUUCCUGACUUUGUUUAGAGCCAUUGUCCAUACUAAACUGCAUCUCGCUUUGUUUUUAAAGCCAUCUGACCACUUUCUUUGUCAGUCUGCCAUCUAGUUUUCAGUGUGCCUGCAGCUCCUCCAACCUUUUCCAUUGCUUAAAAUUGUAACAGGAAAUUUUAU